RNAcentral lists this unclassified non-coding RNA (378 nucleotides) under uncultured Chlamydiales bacterium. Its description in RNAcentral is "contains 16S-23S intergenic spacer region". Lineage: Bacteria; Pseudomonadati; Chlamydiota; Chlamydiia; Chlamydiales. The record is from RNAcentral.
UCGCGUCUUACGACGGCAGUUUCUCCAGAGUUCCCGGCAUUACCCGUUGGCAACUGAAGAUAAGGGUUGCGCUCGUUGCGGGACUUAACCCAACACCUCACGGCACGAGCUGACGACAGCCAUGCAGCACCUGUGCAGCAGUCCCGAAGGAAAGCACCAUUUCUGGUGCGGUCUACUGCAUGUCAAGCCUGGGUAAGGUUCUUCGCGUUGCAUCGAAUUAAACCACAUGCUCCACUGCUUGUGCGGGUCCCCGUCAAUUCUUUUGAGUUUCACCCUUGCGAGCGUACUCCCCAGGUGGCAUACUUAACGCGUUAGCUCCGAAACAGAAAGGGUUGAGCCCUCCUACUUCUAGUAUGCAUCGUUUACGGCUAGGACUAC